UUUGAUCAUGGCUCAGAUUGAACGCUGGCGGCAGGCCUAACACAUGCAAGUCGAGCGGAAACGACACUAACAAUUCUUCGGGUGCGUUAAUGGGCGUCGAGCGGCGGACGGGUGAGUAAUGCCUAGGAAAUUGCCUUGAUGUGGGGGAUAACCAUUGGAAACGAUGGCUAAUACCGCAUGAUGCCUACGGGCCAAAGAGGGGGACUUCGGGCCUCUCGCGUCAAGAUAUGCCUAGGUGGGAUUAGCUAGUUGGUGAGGUAAUGGCUCACCAAGGCGACGAUCCCUAGCUGGUCUGAGAGGAUGAUCAGCCACACUGGAACUGAGACACGGUCCAGACUCCUACGGGAGGCAGCAGUGGGGAAUAUUGCACAAUGGGCGCAAGCCUGAUGCAGCCAUGCCGCGUGUAUGAAGAAGGCCUUCGGGUUGUAAAGUACUUUCAGUUGUGAGGAAGGGGGUGUUGUUAAUAUCAACAUCUCUUGUACGUUAGCAACAGAAGAAGCACCGGCUAACUCCGUGCCAGCAGCCGCGGUAAUACGGAGGGUGUCGAGCGUUAAUCGGAAUUACUGGGCGUAAAGCGACAUGUCAGGUGGUUCAUUAAGUCAGAUGUGAAAGCCCGGGGCUCAACCUCGGAACUGCAUUUGAWACUGGUGAACUAGAGUGCUGUAGAGGGGGGUAGAAUUUCAGGUGUAGCGGUGAAAUGCGUAGAGAUCUGAAGG
This 716-nucleotide ribosomal RNA is filed under the name Vibrio sp. GWS-BW-H165. Its description in RNAcentral is "bacterial SSU rRNA". It matches the Rfam family "Bacterial small subunit ribosomal RNA", at positions 12 to 704 of the family's 1533-position model. The record is from RNAcentral. Lineage: Bacteria; Pseudomonadati; Pseudomonadota; Gammaproteobacteria; Vibrionales; Vibrionaceae.